UACGUAGGGUCCAAGCGUUGUCCGGAUUUAUUGGGCGUAAAGAGCUCGUAGGCGGUUUGGAUAGUCGGGUGUGAAACUCCGAGCUCAACUCGGAGACGCCACCCGAUACUGCCAUGACUAGAGUCCGGUAGGGAGCAGGGAAUUCCUGGUGUAGCGGUGAAUGCGCAGAUAUCAGGAGGAACACCGGUGGCGAAGGCGCUGCUCGUGGCCGGUACUGACGCUGAGGAGCGAAAGCGUGGGUAGCAAACAGG
This 251-nucleotide ribosomal RNA is filed under the name uncultured bacterium. Its description in RNAcentral is "partial 16S ribosomal RNA". It matches the Rfam family "Bacterial small subunit ribosomal RNA", at positions 524 to 776 of the family's 1533-position model. The record is from RNAcentral.